This 253-nucleotide ribosomal RNA is filed under the name uncultured bacterium. RNAcentral's name for it is "partial 16S ribosomal RNA". It matches the Rfam family "Bacterial small subunit ribosomal RNA", at positions 524 to 776 of the family's 1533-position model. The record is from RNAcentral.
GACAGAGGUCCCGAGCGUUGUUCGGAUUCAUUGGGCGUAAAGGGUGUGUAGGAGGUGGGGUAAGUCAGGUGUGAAAUCUCAGAGCUUAACUCUGAAACUGCGCUUGAUACUGCUCCGCUAGAGGAUCGGAGGGGGUAACGGAAUUUAUGGUGUAGCAGUGAAAUGCGUAGAUAUCAUAAGGAACACCGGUGGCGAAGGCGGUUACCUGGAAGAUUCCUGACUCUGAAACACGAAAGCCAGGGGAGCAAACGGG